Molecule: ribosomal RNA, 253 nt
Filed under: uncultured bacterium
Lineage: Bacteria
Description: partial 16S ribosomal RNA
Rfam family: Bacterial small subunit ribosomal RNA
Source: RNAcentral
UACGAAGGGGGCUAGCGUUGCUCGGAAUUACUGGGCGUAAAGCGCACGUAGGCGGAUCUUUAAGUCAGGGGUGAAAUCCUGGAGCUCAACUUCAGAACUGCCUUUGAUACUGAGGGUCUUGAGUUCGGGAGAGGUGAGUGGAACUGCGAGUGUAGAGGUGAAAUUCGUAGAUAUUCGCAAGAACACCAGUGGCGAAGGCGGCUCACUGGCCCGAUACUGACGCUGAGGUGCGAAAGCGUGGGGAGCAAACAGG